GCUGACGUAGCACAACAGGCGGUGCAGCUGCCUUGUAAGCAGCAGGGUGAAGGUUCGACCCCUUCCGUCAGCG
Molecule: transfer RNA, 73 nt
Filed under: Caudoviricetes sp.
Lineage: Duplodnaviria; Heunggongvirae; Uroviricota; Caudoviricetes
Description: tRNA-Thr
Rfam family: tRNA
About the family: Transfer RNA (tRNA) molecules are approximately 80 nucleotides in length. Their secondary structure includes four short double-helical elements and three loops (D, anti-codon, and T loops).
Source: RNAcentral